Molecule: long non-coding RNA, 237 nt
Filed under: Bos taurus (domestic cattle)
Lineage: Eukaryota; Metazoa; Chordata; Mammalia; Artiodactyla; Bovidae
Description: long non-coding RNA NONBTAT019200
Source: RNAcentral
CCUGUAAGCUUUGUUCUCUUUGAAUUUAACUUUUGUCUUAGAACAGCAAAACCUGGCUUAGGUGAUUCAAGGAAAGACUUGCCAGUUAGUCAGGCAUAGGUGUAGGAUCAUAUGUUCACCAUUCUUAAGCAUCGACUUUGUAUCACAGAUACAAUGUCAGUUAGCCAGUGAUAAGCUUUGGAACUAAGUUAGUUUUUAGUAACUGUGUACUGUUAACUCUGAAAUCUUCUUUGAAGC